MicroRNA precursor from Amphiprion percula (orange clownfish), 96 nucleotides. Ensembl annotates it as microRNA let7d-1. Its record names the gene mirlet7d-1. The record is from Ensembl. NCBI's taxonomy places the organism in Eukaryota, Metazoa, Chordata, Actinopteri, Pomacentridae.
UGUGCUCUGCAGUGUGAGGUAGUUGGUUGUAUGGUUUCGCAUAAUAAACAGCACGGAGAUAACUGUACAACCUUCUAGCUUUCCCUGCGGAGUCAC